Molecule: transfer RNA, 2802 nt
Filed under: Methylobacterium mesophilicum SR1.6/6
Lineage: Bacteria; Pseudomonadati; Pseudomonadota; Alphaproteobacteria; Hyphomicrobiales; Methylobacteriaceae
Description: bacterial LSU rRNA
Rfam family: Bacterial large subunit ribosomal RNA (bases 668-2802)
Source: RNAcentral
GCCGAGCGAUCGGCACCGUGGAGCUUCGGCUCAUCCAUCGAAGAUCAUUAGGAUAUCAGGGCUCAGUCAGAGCCCAUUGGCGGGACAGAUGCCGCCCUCGUUUCUCUUCCUCACCAGAUAGCGCGAUCGCGGAUCACUCCGCUCGAUCGUACUGGGCCUGUAGCUCAGGUGGUUAGAGCGCACCCCUGAUAAGGGUGAGGUCGGACGUUCGAGUCGUCCCAGGCCCACCAUGGACGGGAGGCUCUGCCUGCGGCUUGACCCUUUGGGGCCAUAGCUCAGCUGGGAGAGCGCGUGCUUUGCAAGCAUGAGGUCGUCGGUUCGAUCCCGUCUGGCUCCACCACUUUUUUGGGACCUGGCGCCGCUGCUGCGGCGACGUUCUGAACGAGGUGUCGAGCCCGCUAUCUGGAACAUGAGUUUGCCGCAGCAAUGAUCAGCGAGGACCGUCAGGUUCGGCUGGACGUGCUGUCAGGCGAAGACAUCAGUGACAUCGUGAAGAGGGAAUGUGGCCGUUGGGGCAGCGAAAGCUGUGAACCCUGGCGGUCAUGUUCGGCAAGCAUACGGUGAUCGGAUCGGAAACGAUCUGAUCACUGGUCUUUUUGUGACCGUGUCGCGCUGAUCAGCCAGCCUUACGGCUGUCGGAUCAGCGACGGACAUCGAUCACGAGAGCGAUCAAGUGCCUUAAGAGCAUUCGGUGGAUGCCUUGGCGCUGAGAGGCGAUGAAGGACGUGGUACGCUGCGAUAAGCCUUGGGGAGCUGCGAACGAGCUUUGAUCCAGGGAUUUCCGAAUGGGGAAACCCACCUUCGACCUUCCGUAUUGUGGGACCAGGCGCGAGCCUGGUUCCUCAAUACGGUUGGUCACAUGAAGGUAUCAAAUCCUGAAUCCAUAGGGGUUUGAAGCGAACCCGGGGAACUGAAACAUCUCAGUACCCGGAGGAAAGGACAUCAACGAGACUCCGUCAGUAGUGGCGAGCGAACGCGGAUCAGGCCAGUGCCUGUUGUGAGAUUACCGGAACGGUCUGGAAAGGCCGGCGUGAAGGGUGACAGCCCCGUACGGGACGGUUGAUCGACAGGACUCGAGUAGGGCGGGACACGUGAAAUCCUGUCUGAACAUGGGGGGACCACCCUCCAAGCCUAAGUACUCCUCAGCGACCGAUAGCGAACCAGUACCGUGAGGGAAAGGUGAAAAGCACCCCGACGAGGGGAGUGAAACAGCACCUGAAACCGGAUGCUUACAAACAGUGGGAGCCCAAGGUUCGUCCUGGGUGACCGCGUACCUUUUGUAUAAUGGGUCAGCGACUUAAAGUUACGAGCGAGCUUAAGCCGAUAGGUGGAGGCGCAGCGAAAGCGAGUCUGAACAGGGCGUUCAGUUCGUGGCUUUAGACCCGAAACCGAGUGAUCUAGCCAUGUGCAGGAUGAAGGUGGGGUAACACCCACUGGAGGUCCGAACCAGUGCCCGUUGAAAAGGUCUUGGAUGACGUGUGGCUAGGGGUGAAAGGCCAAUCAAACUCGGAAAUAGCUGGUUCUCCGCGAAAGCUAUUUAGGUAGCGCCUCGAGUGAAUACCUCACGGGGUAGAGCACUGGAUGGGCUAGGGCCGCCCACAGCGGUACCAAACCCAACCAAACUCCGAAUACGUGAGAGUACUGCUCGGGAGACACACGGCGGGUGCUAACGUCCGUCGUGGAGAGGGAAACAACCCUGACCGACAGCUAAGGCCCCCAAUUCGUGGCUAAGUGGGAAAGGAUGUGGGACUCCCAAAACAACCAGGAGGUUGGCUUAGAAGCAGCCAUCCUUUAAAGAAAGCGUAACAGCUCACUGGUCUAAAUAAGGGGUCCUGCGCCGAAAAUGUAACGGGGCUCAAGCCACGAGCCGAAGCUUCGGAUUCACCGCAAGGUGAGUGGUAGCGGAGCGUUCCCUAGGCCUGCGAAGCGGUACCCGUGAGGGGCCGUGGAGGUAUGGGAAGUGCGAAUGCUGACAUGAGUAACGACAAAGAGUGUGAAAGACACUCUCGCCGAAAGUCCAAGGGUUCCUGCGUAAAGUUAAUCUGCGCAGGGUUAGCCGGCCCCUAAGGCGAGGCCGAAAGGCGUAGUCGAUGGGAACGGGGCGAACAUUCCCCGGCCAGCGGAUGGUGACGGAUGCCGUGUAUCGUUUGACCUUAUCGGAUUGGUCAGGCGGUGAAGGGGUCCCAGGAAAUAGCCUCCGCGUAAGACCGUACCCGAAACCGACACAGGUGGACUGGUAGAGUAUACCAAGGCGCUUGAGAGAACGAUGCUGAAGGAACUCGGCAAUUUGCCUCCGUAACUUCGGGAUAAGGAGGCCUCUGUCUUGGGCAACCAGGGCAGAGGGGCACAGACCAGGGGGUGGCGACUGUUUAUCUAAAACACAGGGCUCUGCGAAGUCUGUAAGACGACGUAUAGGGCCUGACGCCUGCCCGGUGCCGGAAGGUUAAGAGGAGAGGUGAGAGCUUUGAAUCGAAGCCCCGGUAAACGGCGGCCGUAACUAUAACGGUCCUAAGGUAGCGAAAUUCCUUGUCGGGUAAGUUCCGACCUGCACGAAUGGCGUAACGAUCUCCCCGCUGUCUCCAGCAUCGGCUCAGUGAAAUUGAAUUCCCCGUGAAGAUGCGGGGUUCCUGCGGUCAGACGGAAAGACCCCGUGCACCUUUACUGUAGCUUUGCGCUGGCCUUCGUGUCGGCAUGUGUAGGAUAGGUGGUAGGCUUUGAAGCGGGGGCGUCAGCCUUCGUGGAGCCAUCCUUGAAAUACCACCCUUGGCGAUAUGGUGGUCUAACCGCGACCCUUGAUCGGGG